Molecule: long non-coding RNA, 4292 nt
Organism: Columba livia (rock pigeon)
Lineage: Eukaryota; Metazoa; Chordata; Aves; Columbiformes; Columbidae
Exons: 5
Source: RefSeq, a predicted model, not a curated record
UCAGGUGUCUGUCUAUAGAUUAAAAGAUUACACAGUGAAGAAAAUGGAGCAGGACAGGAGUGUUUUCAUGUUUCUCCCAAUGGAGAAGAAUGAGGAGAUGAUCCUUUUGUGAAGACUGUUCAAGCAACUGGAAAAAUGUAAUUUGUCAGAGAAUUACAGUAGUCUAGUCUAGACAAGACUAAGGCUUGAAUCGGUUUCCAAAUCCUGACAAAUUAACGUGUGCUGCAACUUGAAAAUGUAAUUCAGAUUUUCACAGAGAGUUCUAUUGCAUUAGUAUAGGGACACAGACAUACACAUUAGCAUGUGCACACACAGAGGGAAAAUUCCAUUUGGUUUGCCUUAUGGAUUUAUCCCUGUGGUUUGAAGGGUGACUAUCAGUCACUAGGCCCACAAACACAGCAGGAUGUUUGCAAAUGCCCAAUUCAGGCUAAUGGAAAAGCCUUUCUUUUUUUUUGCCUUGGCAGUAGCUAAAAAAACCACUCACUGUCAUUUGGACCUGGACUGUGGACAAACAGGUGCUCUUGCAUGUUGGACCUCCCUGCCUCUUCUGGAGAAGAGGAGUCUAGUCUGGAGAAGAGGAGGCUUAGAGUACUCAGAGAUCAUCUUUAUCGUAAAAUUCCAAGUGAGCCUAGGAAGAAAACCGGAAUACUUAAAAUGGCAAAAAUCUGCAAAGGACACACAGCUCAGAGGAGACUACACAUCCUGAGAUAAUUAAGACCUGGCUGUGCUGGUGGUGACUCAGGAUAUUCUAUGAUUCCAUUCAGCUUUCAGUGGCACUUUGGAUGACCAGAGCCUGAGACAUUGAAAGUGCUUCAGGGAUGUCAGUCAUCACACAGGUAUUGAUCUGCAAAGACCCAUCUGAAGUCUCAAGUCACUUUUUUAACCCUAAUAUGAUGUUCUGGUGGUAGGUAGACCGAGAAUGCCCAGCAGGAGGAGGCUAAAGUUGUUGCUGUUGGAACCUGCAUGUCAAUAAAGCUGUAUAUCAAUAACUAUUUACAGAUUGAUACCUUGGGAUAAAUUCUUGACAAUUUCAGUCAAUGGAAUGGCACUGGUCUUCACCACUCAAGGGCAGAGGGCCUCAAGGUUUACUAGCAGGUUUUUUAAUUACCCUAAUACAUUUUCAGUUCACAGUAGGCAACUGGAACAUACAAUAUAUUGCCUUUCUAUAUCUCUUCUGGCCUUUUCUGAUGGUAUUGUGUAGUUGAAGAGUAAACUUCAAAAAAUUAAAAGGUGAAAAUAUAUUGAAUAUUUUUAAAAAUUCCAGACUUUAAUAGCCAUCUCUUCAUUUAUUUGUUUUAAAUAGCUCUUUCAUGUGUUGGGACAAAGGGACAUUGUAUUAAUUGUGAAGUGUGAAAUGUUUUUCUUGUUUGCUUGGGACAACAACUGGGAAUACAUGGAUUUGCCUAUUCAUGCUUUAUUGUUAUGACAACAUUUUUUCCACAAAGUAUGUGAAAGGCAGUGCUAUGAAAGGAGUAUAGUUGGCUACAAAUCUGGAGGAGUUUCAUGCUUUUGUUUUAAGCUUGCGUGUAUGAGCUUUGUCAAAAUUGUGAGUCUUUCAUCCAUGGUGUCUGCCUGACUCAAGGGUUCUUUUCUUGUUCAAAUAUCCUUUAGUAAAGCCCAUUUGACUGAAAGGCUGUGCAAACAUGAGCUGGCUAUGAUAAGAGCUCUACAUGAAAUCUUUAACAUGCUUUGUCAGCAUGAGAUUUUUUCAGCUGUGUGCUCUAGUAAAUACUUUUUUCCCUCUACAGUAAGUUCAUUUUCUUAAAGUGUAUUUCUUAUUUAUAAUUGCUGUAAUUUUCUGACAGAUUUAUGACAAUAAACCAUUAUGCUUUAGGUGAAAUGUUAAUCCACUGUGCAUUAGUAUUACUUGAAAAAUACUGCCCUAGUCCAAGCUGUGUUACUAAAACAAGCUACAUCAGGACUUAGGUCCCAUCCACAACUGAGUUUGCAAUGGAUCUGUUUUCUAUGUCUCUCUUUCCUAAGUGAGCUGCCUGUCAAGCUUUCUUUAGCACCAAAAUGCUAAAAGGCAUCAUGAGGAGUCUAAUCCUGUGACUUUGCUAAGCACAGAAAAGGUGCUAGAGGAGAACACAAUCAGCUUAAUCAAAAUUGAAAGACAUGUUUUUUCUUUCAUAACAUGCAGGAUAGUUGUUGAAAAAUUAGCUUGUUGUCCUUUAACAAGCUUUCUCUACCCUGCAAUAUGCAACCACUUUUUUCUCUAGCUAGUUCCGUUCUGCAACCAGUGUAUAGGAAGAACAAAAUGUAAAACUUUCCUUUCAAAAACUCUUUGUUUCGCUGCUGGCCAUUCCUGUGUUGCCAUUUUAAAAUCUAAGCUUUUUCAGUUCAUAUCCAUCUCCGCUCACCUUUGCUUUUCUUGGUAAAAGUCUAUGUUGGCAUAUGGCUCUUAAGACAGGAAUAAAAGAGACAUUUUACCACAUGCCUCUGCUGAACGCUCACUAAUAACAUGCUGGAUACUUUCCACUCCACCCAACCUGCAUAAUUGUUCGCCAUGUGAAAUGGAGUUAAUUCUGUGUAAUGUUUUGAUGAGUAAUUUUAAUCAGGGUCGUGGAGAAGCUGCUCUCAAGUCUGGAAACGUAAGUGCUUCCUGUAGUAAACAAACUCGUGGUUUUAGCAUUUCACUUAAUUUGAUUUUUCAGAUGACAGAACAUGUUCCUUCUCUUGCCCUAUGGUCUUCAAGGCUCAGGAGCACUUCUGUAGCCAAAUUUCAUUUGUUCCUCCCUUAAACAAGUUAAGGGGGAGAGAGAAAAAGGUAGUUUUCAUCCUUUGGCAAGUCAGGAGAAGUUUUACCUGUGCCUUCCCUCAUUUUACCUGCAGCAAGUGCAUGAUUCUGUCGUCACAUCUUCUGAAAAUUAGUAGCUCCUUUGCAAAGUCCACCCUGGAUCAGUGUCCUGUUGGAAGAACACGUGGGGAAACUGGUGUUCAAUAGGCUGGGAGUGCAGGGAGUGCCUGCUGAAGUUCAUGAUUCCCAAACUGCAAGAAAUGCCUUUUAAUUCCACGCUGCAGCAAAUAGGGAUGAGCAGCUUUUGUUACUGUGCAGCAUCCAUGGUGCAGGUUUUCCCCAUGGUGCAGCAGGGAAAGAACUGUCCUGCCUUCCCCUACUAACAGCUCGAGAAAAUAUUUCAUGAAAUCUCCUCAAGGAUUAAGUUUAUUCCAGCCUUCAUUUGGUAAGAAAAACCAUCUGUGAACAUUUGACUUGAUGCAUCGUGCUGUGACAUCCAGCAGCAGCAUAAUCCCCAACUGCAGACCUGCUCCAACCGCCUCACGUGGCAGGUCAGAUACAAGCUAGAGAGCAAAAAUUCUGCAAAGUUUUAAAACUUGUAGUCUUUGGACUUUACACCUUAAAGCACUUCUCCAUAGUAAGUAUUGUCCCCAUUAAUGCAGCACCUACGACUCGGUGAUGUUCUUGCUUGUUGCAUCUCCCUCCAUUUGAGCAGGACAACUGCAUUGCUCCAAUUUUACAAGCUGAAAAGCAGAAAUAAAUAGCUUGUGCAAUGUCUCAAAGAGACAGAGGUGAUUUCUGAGCUUGGGUCUCCCAAGGCCCUCACCAGCAUCAUAAUUCUUUUCCCUUGUUCCAAAGAUUACUGCUUAAUAAGCCCAAACGGACACACAUUAUCCUGGUGGUGUGCAGCCACUUCUGCCUGGCCCAGAAAAUUGCUGCGGGGUGGCUGGGUGAGGUUUAUGGAGGUUUCCCAAAUGAUUGCUGUCUAUGCAAUGCUGGGUAGGGAUUUGUGCUAUAUCUGAAACACUUGUCUCAUGCCCAACACAAUAACAUGGGAUGUGGAGACUGCAAAAUAGUCACUGGGCUGGAAGGGAGUCCAAGGCAUGAGUGCUGCCAAGGUGAAGUGUGUGUAAAACAUCUAUUUAACAGAAGAGUGCAACAUUGAUUUUCUAUGAUCUGGAUGAUUUCACAAAUUAUUUUGGCACUACAUUUUGUUACCUGAACAGUUUAAGGAGAUCCUGCAUAUCCAUUAAAAAAAAAACACCUGUAGCUCAGCCUUCCCUUACCUUUCAUUGUAUAAGCACACCUGAGCUGUGUCCAUUUUCUCUCAAAAGCAUCAUCCAAUACUGCCCUUCCCUGUGUGUUAAACUGAUUUACUUCUUACUACAUGAAGCACUGAUUUCUUCAUCCAGCCUUUUUUCUUUUAUAAAUAUCAUCAGCAUUUUCUUUGGCUCUGUUGUUAACACAGUUACAGCAAAACAGAGGAUUUGAGAAUAUUUAAAUAUAUUGGUUUCUUAAACAGUAAAGAUUUCAACCUGAAUUUUCUGCAGACAAA